AGGAUCAUUACUGAACUGUUGACACGAGUUGUUGCUGGUCCUCGAAAGGGGGCAUGUGCACGCUCUGUUUACACAUCCACUCACACCUGUGCACCCUCUGUAGUUCUGUGGCACUGGGGACUCUGUCCUCUUGCUGUGGUCCUACGUCUUUACACACACACCGUAAUACAGUCUCAUGGAAUGUAUGUCGCGUUUAACGCAAUACAAUACAACUUUCAGCAACGGAUCUCUUGGCUCUCGCAUCGAUGAAGAACGCAGCGAAAUGCGAUAAGUAAUGUGAAUUGCAGAAUUCAGUGAAUCAUCGAAUCUUUGAACGCACCUUGCGCCCUUUGGCUAUUCCGAAGGGCAUGCCUGUUUGAGUAUCAUGAACACCUCAACUCUCAUGGCCUGCCAUGAUGAGCUUGGAUUUUGGGGGUCUUGCCGGCCUAACCGUCGGCUCCUCUCAAAUGAAUCAGCUUGCCAGUGUUUGGUGGCAUCACAGGUGUGAUAACUAUCUACGCUUGUGGUUCUCCACCAGGUAACCUUCAGCAAUGGAGGUUCGCUGGAGCUCACAGACGUCUCUCCUCAGGGAAG
Molecule: ribosomal RNA, 573 nt
Filed under: uncultured Tomentella
Lineage: Eukaryota; Fungi; Basidiomycota; Agaricomycetes; Thelephorales; Thelephoraceae
Description: eukaryotic LSU rRNA
Rfam family: 5.8S ribosomal RNA (bases 211-365)
Source: RNAcentral